RNAcentral lists this ribosomal RNA (468 nucleotides) under uncultured bacterium. Its description in RNAcentral is "partial 16S ribosomal RNA". It matches the Rfam family "Bacterial small subunit ribosomal RNA", at positions 28 to 507 of the family's 1533-position model. The record is from RNAcentral.
GACGAACGCUGGCGGCGUGCUUAACACAUGCAAGUCGAACGGAAAGGCCCUGCUUUUGUGGGGUUCUCGAGUGGCGAACGGGUGAGUAACACGUGAGUAACCUGCCCUUGACUUUGGGAUAACUUCAGGAAACUGGGGCUAAUACCGGAUAGGAUCUCCUGCUGCAUGGUGGGGGUUGGAAAGUUUCGGCGGUUGGGGAUGGACUCGCGGCUUAUCAGCUUGUUGGUGGGGUAGUGGCUUACCAAGGUUUUGACGGGUAGCCGGCCUGAGAGGGUGACCGGCGACAUGGGGACUGAGAUACGGCCCAGACGCCUACGGGAGGCAGCAGUGGGGAAUAUUGCACAAUGGGCGGAAGCCUGAGGCAGCAACGCCGCGUGCGGAAUGACGGCCUUCGGGUUGUAAACCGCUUUCGACUGUGACGAAGAGUGAGUGACGGUAAUGGGUAAAGAAGCACCGGCUAACUACGUG